AUAUAAUUGGGAGACUAUACCUAGUCAGAAAUAUGACAGUGUUUUUUAUUCUUUUUCCGUGGUUGAUGGAUGACGUUUAUUUUUUUGAGUUUUUAAGAAGUUAGGUAAUUUUGUUUUACUUUUCUUCCUUUUGUUAAUAUUGUUGUCAUUUCAAUAAACAAAGACAGACAGGUGUCAAUAAAUAGUAUCAAUUUCUUAAUCGCCCUCUAAUUUUUUGCAAAAGUUGAAACUUCGCAGUUUGAUCAUUGGAAAUGCAAUAACUAAUCAUUUCAAACCAAAACAAAACUGUUAAAAAAACAUUUAAGUAAAUGAUUUUUCUUUUCAAAGACAAAGCCUUAUUUCAGUUCAUGCGAGACACAAUUAAAAAGUAUUAAUUAUCGUAUCACCUACUUAUGGCAAUAGAUAUUUUACUUUGAUUGCUGUAUAAUAAUAUUCAAUCAACUUGGCCACACGUUGAACUAAAUAUUGUCUUAUCGUUUGUGCACUCUAUCCGUUUGGCGCAAAAUAAACCAAAAUAAAGUAAAGCAAAAUGCUUACAACAUUUAAGGACAUCAAAACAAAAACGCAGCAAGCUGUGGUAUCUUUUGUUUUAAGUUGAAGAGUAUUGUGAGCUUGCUAGUCAAAUUAUUACAGUGUGUUAUGUGUUGUACCUAUCGUACUGGUCUUUAAUCAAUUAAGGAUACGUCACAGAUACGAUUUAAAAAAUGAGAUAACAAUCAAACAAAUUUCAUGCAACAGACUCACUUGAAAUUUUGCAAAAGGACACAGCAAGUUAGCAACACUACGCAUGGUUUGUGAAGGAAUGGGAAGAUUUCCUCUGGAGGUAAAGGUGAAAGUUAGAUUGAUUUUAUAUAUGUGUUAAACUGUGAAUAAUGAAUCAAAAUUUGUACUUUACUGUAUAGAUUUAUGCUUUGCUUAAAGCCAAUUACAUAAUUAAACCUGAAAUGGGAUAAUUCUGUACUGGCAUUGAAUAUAUAAUCAAAUGGGCUACUCUUGUAAAUUGUUUAUACUUUGUAAUCCGAGAGUUAAAACGUGAUAUAGUGAUAUAAAAGUUUGAUGACAUGGACGAUUUUAAUCGAUGUCUAAAAUAAUAUUCUUUAGAAAGCUUCUUUACCUUCAUAUAUAAUUCAGGCAUCGGAUCACUUAUUUUAAGGAAAUUCACAUGUUUGUCUCCUAUA
Molecule: long non-coding RNA, 1178 nt
Filed under: Mytilus galloprovincialis (Mediterranean mussel)
Lineage: Eukaryota; Metazoa; Mollusca; Bivalvia; Mytilida; Mytilidae
Source: RNAcentral